This 595-nucleotide long non-coding RNA is filed under the name Homo sapiens (human). RNAcentral's name for it is "non-protein coding lnc-BPY2B-9:1". The record is from RNAcentral. Lineage: Eukaryota; Metazoa; Chordata; Mammalia; Primates; Hominidae.
AUGGAGGAUGGAGGACAGUGAGAAGAAGAAAGGAAGAGAAAUGCAAAGUGUGGCAGCCGCCAAGAGUGAAAACCCACCAAGAUGGAAGUGCCAUGCACAUACUGGACAGAAGGGGGCAGGUGGGACAAGCCCCACAGCCCCCUCAAAAACGACCACUUCCAGGAGUCAGUGCUCCCUGGGGGGCAGGCUCCGCCAGCCCUUGGCCACACGUGGCUCUGGCACCCAUGGUCCCAGUGCCUUGGAUGGAGGCGGCCAGGUCUGAUGCUCUGGAAUCCAGUCCCAUUUCCAUCCCGGCCACGCCCAUCCGGCAGCCUCUUUGGUCGCAUUCAGCCCCUACUCACCUGGAGACCCCGGGUGGGGCAUGAGUGCACCUGGUGGGGUAGGGGCCGAAGGGAUCAGGGGAAGCCUCUAGCCUGGAGGGUACAGGGCACGCUUCCCCAAGGGUGGACCUGGCAAGAGGAAGCCCAAGAGCUGGGCCCGCCACCCAGGCCGGGCUAGGGACAUGGCAGGGUCUGGGCAUCCUGGGGCUGGACUUGGGUGACCUGCAAGGCACAGGGAGGGGAGAGAUGGGCGGCUCUGCCCCCCUGAGGCCCCG